RNAcentral lists this ribosomal RNA (253 nucleotides) under uncultured bacterium. RNAcentral's name for it is "partial 16S ribosomal RNA". It matches the Rfam family "Bacterial small subunit ribosomal RNA", at positions 524 to 776 of the family's 1533-position model. The record is from RNAcentral.
UACAGGGGGGGCAAGCGUUGUUCGGAAUUACUGGGCGUAAGGGGCUCGUAGGCGGCCAACUAAGUCACACGUGAAAUCCCCAGGCUUAACCUGGGAACUGCGUGUGAUACUGGAUGGCUUGAAUUCGGGAGAGGGAUGCAGAAUUCCAGGUGUAGCGGUGAAAUGCGUAGAUAUCUGGAGGAAUACCGGUGGCGAAGGCGGCAUCCUGGACCGACAUUGACGCUGAUGAGCGAAAGCUAGGGGAGCAAACGGG